This 274-nucleotide ribosomal RNA is filed under the name uncultured bacterium. RNAcentral's name for it is "partial 16S ribosomal RNA". It matches the Rfam family "Bacterial small subunit ribosomal RNA", at positions 523 to 796 of the family's 1533-position model. The record is from RNAcentral.
AUACGGAGGGUGCAAGCGUUACUCGGAAUCACAGGGCGUAAAGCGCGCGCAGGCGGCUAUUUAAGUUGGAUGUGAAAGCCUACGGCUCAACCGUAGAACUGCAUCCAAAACUAUUUAGCUAGAGUGUGGGAGAGGAAGAUGGAAUUAGUUGUGUAGGGGUAAAAUCCGUAGAGAUAAAUAGGAAUACCAAAAGCGAAGGCAAUCUUCUGGAACACUACUGACGCUGAGGCGCGAAAGCGUGGGGAGCAAACGGGAUUAGAUACCCUAGUAGUCC